This 414-nucleotide ribosomal RNA is filed under the name uncultured bacterium. RNAcentral describes it as "bacterial SSU rRNA". It matches the Rfam family "Bacterial small subunit ribosomal RNA", at positions 29 to 482 of the family's 1533-position model. The record is from RNAcentral.
AACGAACGCUGGCGGCAUGCCUAACACAUGCAAGUCGAACGGGAUCCUAGCUUGCUAGGUGAGAGUGGCGGACGGGUGAGUAACACGUGGGAAUCUGCCUUUUGGUUCGGGAUAACCGCGGGAAACUGCGGCUAAUACCGAAUGCCCUCGAGAGAGGAAAGAUUUAUCGCCAGAAGAGGAGCCCGCGUCCGAUUAGGUAGUUGGUGGGGUAAAGGCCUACCAAGCCGACGAUCGGUAGCUGGUCUGAGAGGAUGAUCAGCCACACUGGGACUGAGAUACGGCCCAGACUCCUACGGGAGGCAGCAGUGGGGAAUAUUGGACAAUGGGGGCAACCCUGAUCCAGCAAUGCCGCGUGAGUGAUGAAGGCCUUAGGGUGUAAGACUCUUUGCCAGGGAAGAUGAUGACUGUACCUGG